RNAcentral lists this ribosomal RNA (695 nucleotides) under uncultured bacterium. RNAcentral's name for it is "bacterial SSU rRNA". It matches the Rfam family "Bacterial small subunit ribosomal RNA", at positions 120 to 803 of the family's 1533-position model. The record is from RNAcentral.
GGUAACCUACCUCUUAGCGGGGGACAACUCUUGAAAACGAUAGCUAAUACCGCAUAACAAUACUUAACACAUGUUAAGUAUUUGAAAGCACCAAUUGGUGCACUAACAGAUGGACCCGCGUUGUAUUAGCUAGUUGGUAGUGUAAUGGACUACCAAGGCGAUGAUACAUAGCCGACCUGAGAGGGUGAUCGGCCACAUUGGGACUGAGACACGGCCCAAACUCCUACGGGAGGCAGCAGUAGGGAAUCUUCGGCAAUGGACGAAAGUCUGACCGAGCAACGCCGCGUGAGUGAAGAAGGUUUUCAGAUCGUAAAACUCUGUUGUUAGAGAAGAACGUCAGUGAGAGUGGAAAGUUCACUGAGUGACGGUAUCUAACCAGAAAGGGACGGCUAACUACGUGCCAGCAGCCGCGGUAAUACGUAGGUCCCGAGCGUUGUCCGGAUUUAUUGGGCGUAAAGCGAGCGCAGGUGGUUUAAUAAGUCUGAUGUAAAAGGCAGUGGCUCAACCAUUGUGUGCAUUGGAAACUGUUAGACUUGAGUGCAGUAGAGGAGAGUGGAAUUCCAUGUGUAGCGGUGAAAUGCGUAGAUAUAUGGAGGAACACCGGUGGCGAAAGCGGCUCUCUGGACUGUAACUGACACUGAGGCUCGAAAGCGUGGGUAGCAAACAGGAUUAGAUACCCUGGUAGUCCACGCCGU